Molecule: long non-coding RNA, 1202 nt
Organism: Ostrea edulis (European flat oyster)
Lineage: Eukaryota; Metazoa; Mollusca; Bivalvia; Ostreida; Ostreidae
Exons: 4
Source: RefSeq, a predicted model, not a curated record
AUGUUUCCGUUUCAACGAAAACAACACAGCUUCAUCGUGAUUGUCACAGCGAUCGCUUGUAUUUUACAUCUUUAAAACGACCUGAUGUCAGAAGAAGAAGAUGCCCUGGAUCUCCUGAUGCAGGAUGACUCAAACGAUCAUGCAUUCAGUAUAAAUACGUACAUGGUAUUGACACCCCAAUAUUUAGUGAGAAGUUCCCAAGUAUCAUCCGCUAGCGACAGUCUACUGGCAAAUCCAGACAUGCAUUGGAAGGAUGCUGAUGUGGAGGACACAGGAACACCUGAUCCCAGAACUGUGGCAUUUCAUUCGGGGUGACAACCUGGCUUUCAGUUGAUAUGGGACCCUAUUAUUCGGAGAACUGCAGAUUUUAUGAAGCUGUCUUUGACAGAAGAUUUGGUUUUCUCCAUCUGUGUUGCCACCAACCAUUAUGCUGAGAUGGUCAUAUCUAGGGGGAAGGGUUGCCAUAUACUUCCCAAGGAAGUUUGCAGCCUCUCACUGAAGAGGAACUGUACAGAUUUUUGUGCAUUAUCUUAUACACGCCUGCUGUGAAGUUCCAGUCGAUAGACAGAUAUUGGUCAACGCAUGCCCAUGUCGGAACAACUCAUUAUCAAGAAUUAUGUCUAGAAAUAGGUUUCAAGAGGUUGAAUAUAAGAACAUUUUUGUUAAAUAUGAUGCAAGUACAUUUAAAUCUAGUGAUUGAAAGUAAGUACUUGAACAUUCGUAUAUGUUGAACUUGGAGAGGAAAAAUGGUUAGUACUUUUUGAUAACAUUUGAUAAGGUGUUGUUGCUUAGCAACCAAAUAUAAUUGAAUAAAAAAAUAUAUUAUUUUUAGAUUAACAAUAAUUGAAAGAUCUUUGUUUUAAUGUUGCAAUACUUAUUCUAUUUAAUGGAACAUAAUGGCAAAACGUCAAAUUAUUAGAAAAUGAUGGACAAGUAUAUAAAGUACGAAGUUUCCAUUUGAUGACCUUUGACCUUAAUUCUCUUCAUCAUAUUUUUUGUUAAAAACCUUUUAAAAUGAUUAAGAUCUAUUUAAAGAUUAUAUUUUUAAAAUAAUGUGACAUUUACUAAUCAUCAUGGAUUGUAAUUACGUUUAAAUUGUGUCGAAUGGAUGCAGAAAGGCAAAUUAUGGUCAAAAUUGUACUAUGAGUGUUGUUACUUAGCAACCAAAAAUAUUUGUUUGUCAAUAAAAUUGAUUAGUUUGA